Molecule: ribosomal RNA, 251 nt
Filed under: uncultured microorganism
Description: partial 16S ribosomal RNA
Rfam family: Bacterial small subunit ribosomal RNA
Source: RNAcentral
GAGUUUGAUCAUGGCUCAGAGCGAACGCUGGCGGCAGGCCUAACACAUGCAAGUCGAACGAACUCUUCGGAGUUAGUGGCGGACGGGUGAGUAACACGUGGGAACGUGCCUUUUGGUUCGGAAUAACUCAGGGAAACUUGUGCUAAUACCCGAAUGUGCCCCUUCGGGGUAAAGGAGUUUAUACGCCAUUAGAGCGGCCCGCGUCUGAUUAGCUAGUUGGUGAGGUAAAGGCUCACCAAGGCGACGAUCAG